AUCUUUUCAUAAUCCUAAGUGUGGUGAUUGUGUUUCCAUGCUCACGUGAGAUAUGCCUCCCUCAAACUUUGUUAUGACAGCAGCACAUUACCCAUCUGAUG
Molecule: small nucleolar RNA, 101 nt
Organism: Nycticebus coucang (slow loris)
Lineage: Eukaryota; Metazoa; Chordata; Mammalia; Primates; Lorisidae
Product: small nucleolar RNA U13
Exons: 1
Source: RefSeq, a predicted model, not a curated record